UUGCAAUGAGAAGAAGAGGAAGUUCACAGAGACAAUUGAGCUCCAGAUUGGGCUUAAGAACUAUGAUCCCCAAAAGGACAAGCGUUUCAGUGGAUCUGUGAAACUGCCUCAUAUUCCUCGCCCUAAGAUGAAGAUUUGUAUGCUUGGAGAUGAUCAGCACGUGGAGGAGGCAGAAAAGAUCGGGUUGGAGUACAUGGAUGUGGAAAGCCUCAUAAUAAGAACAAGAAGCUAGUUAAGAAGCUUGCCAAGAAGUACCAUGCUUUCUUGGCUUCUGAAUCUCAUUCCUCGUCCUAAGAUGAAGAUUUGUAUGCUCGGAGAUGCUCAGCACGUUGAGGAGGUUAUCCUCCUUUUCGCGUUAGUUAAUGGCUACAGUUAAACUUCAUUUGGUUCUUGUUUGCCUCAUAAAGUAUUUGCGAACUAAAGCUUGGUAUUAAAAUGGAAAGGGGUAGAGUGGUGCACGCAUUUUCCACUGAGUUCUCGGUUAUAAAAAUAAAGUAGUUAAAAGUGCAUAUCCUACUGCUGAGUGAAUUUCCGUUACUGCCCUUAAUAUCAUUAUUUUAAUUGUCAAUUAUUUAACAAUGUGUAUAUGUAGUUAUUACUUGGAAAAUUGUAUUGAGAAUGAAUUGAUUGUAUUAUUGUCAAUUGACAUAUUUUGUAUAGUACAUUUAUGCAUUGCUGAAUGUGUGUCUGGAGCAGUAUGAGGUGAAAAUUUAAAAUUUCAUGCACGGUUCUGUAAUUGCUAUGGGCACCAUGAUGUUAUCAUCAAUGAUGAUUGCCUAGCAGUUUAAGAGCAGUUAAAAAGAGUGGAAUCACAGUCAAAAUGUGUUUUUCACAGGUUGGCAAAUAUUUUGUGCUUUGUUUGCAAGUUUGUCUUUCUACCUUUGUUUCUAUGUGUUAUCUUCUAGUCUGUGAUGCGUUUCUUGUGUAUAAAAUGCAAUUGCAUGAUUUGAUCACAACUCAAAUAGUGUGGUAACUUGGCUAAACGAUAUAAUGGCGCCAGAAGUCCCAUUAGUUGAAAGGGUAAAUCUGCAAAUUAUGUGUGAAUGCCGAUUAGUA
This 1056-nucleotide long non-coding RNA is filed under the name Nicotiana benthamiana. Its description in RNAcentral is "long non-coding RNA (NBEN_LNC036256)". Lineage: Eukaryota; Viridiplantae; Streptophyta; Magnoliopsida; Solanales; Solanaceae. The record is from RNAcentral.